UCCCAGCCUGCAUUUCCAAAUGCACAUUUACUCACUGGGUAGAGAGAAAACCCAGACUCCCCAGGGCUGCUGAUAAGAGCCUCCCAUCCACCAGGGGCCAGGGAGUCCGCACGGCACAGAGGAGCCCCAGCCGCCCCCAGCACAGGGGACGGAAAAAAAAACUUCACUCGAGGACACAUAUACUGAUUUUAGAGAGAGAGAGAGGAAGAGAGAGGAACAUCGAUCAGUUGCCUCCUGUAUGUCCCUAUCAGGGAGCGGACCUGCAGCCUAGGUAUGCGCCCUGACCGGGGAUUGAACCUGCAACUUUUUGGUGUACAGGACGAGGCUCCAACCAACUGAACCACCCGGCCAGGGCUUGAGAAUUCUCUCAGACACCAGCCACGAUGGGGCCACCCAGAACCUCCGCCUAAUGAAAGAUUAAGGUCAUGAGAGUCACGACCGAAGGCUGCAGAAAGUUUAUUAUUGGGAACUAGACUGAAAACACGAGGCUUAAUUUAGCAUCAGAUGCUAAAACAGCCAACAGCGCGUGGACCUUACCCCGCCCACCGUGGGCCGCACAAGCUUCGUGCACGCUGGAGGCGACGCUGCUCUUACUCUCCAAACGCCACAGAGAUAUGUCUGGAAAAGGCAGAAGAAAGUUCCAGGUUGGUGGCUGAAGCCUCUCCUUCCAGAUCAUGACAUAAGUCCGAAGUCACUCGGAAAGGAAAUGCUCACCCCUCUCUGUGUGCUGGGAAUUGUAAAAGUCCCCCACAAGGCAUUCCUCUGAACACCACAACGCUGCCGCUCCAGGCCGGUCCUCUCUGGGCUCGGGACAAGCCCCUGGGCCUGUCCCAACUGAUGUGGGGACUGUGAUACAUGUCUAAGGGCUGAGACCUCUUGCCCUUCCCAAAUCUCUGAAAAUUUCCCACCCAUAAGAAGAGGACUCAUAUUCAAAAGCCCCUAAUGUUGCUGUUGCUUUUCUCUAAAGAGGAACACAGAGUCUAAGAAAACAGUAGUUUCCUCUUAUGAAAUGUAUCACUCAGUUUUGAAAUUUAGGAUAGAAAGUUAGAAGACACGUAGGGACCCACAAGGCUUGCUUGUGAGGUUCCCACGCAAUGGCAAGUAUUUCCUGCACCUCGGCCUGUUUCCCUGUGUCUACUCGGGAAGGGCUUUUGACGAAUUGGAGGCUACCCCUGUAUCCACCUGAUGUCCUUCCAAUUUGAUGAGUUAUCCUGCAUUUUUUAAAAAAUUCUUACCCAAGGAUAUUUUAUUAUUGAUUUUGGAGAGAGAGAGAGAGAGAGGGAGAGAGUAACAUCAGUGUGAGAGAGAAACAUUGGCCAGUUGCCUCCUGUAGGUGCCCUGACCAGGAAUCGAACCCACAACCUUUUGGUGUACAGGACAACUCCCCAAGCAGCCGAGCCCCCCCUGGCCAGGGCAGGAGCUGUCUUGUAUUAUGAAAGUGUCACAGUGCUUUGCUUUGUUACGUGCCAGAGCCCAAUAUUGUAAAACAACUCUCUGGGCACCAGGGAGCAACACUAUUUUGGGGGCUGGAGACCAGCCGGGAUUUCAGAAAUGCUGUCGUUUCAGACCGAGGCUGGCCAGGAAGGGGGCCAGACGGCUGUGGGGAAAGAACACAGGGAGAGAUGAGCAUCAGGAAAAUGAGCAAAAGCCUCAAAGACUGUGUCAUGACGACAGACGCUUAAAUAGUGCAGAGCCCACAGAGUGCUAUCACUUCUGGUCCAAACGGUUGCCCAAGACAGAGAUAUUAGCACCGACAGCAUUUCCUCCUUUACUCUCGACGAAGGUUUGGCUGCCGGUCCAAGGGGUCUCGAAAGGAAGAGAGAAGACAGAACCUCCCGUUUCAGCCCUCAGAAAUCUCGGACUGGCAGCGGGUGCAGCCAUUUGGGGCAAAUAUUUGAUGGGGAGGGAGAAGUAGCUCUCUUCUCAAAACUGUGACUCUGAGACCCCAAGGCUUGCUAAGCGUGGAGGAGCCGGCCAGCUCGGGACCGGACCACCCGCCUGUCAACUCAUUCCAGCAGAAGGCCGGACCCGCCCAGGUUGUUGCAAGUGCAGAGUCAGAAGCAUUUUAACCUGUUAUGGAGUCACAGCAAAGAAAGCCUACCCGGGGCCGGUAAUGCGCGAGGGGGGCCUCACACGCAGCCAACUGUCACAUCGAUGCUUGAGGUGGCCCGGCCCGGCCGCCUGCACGGGGACAAGUUGCAGCCCCUAGGCCACUUCGCCUGAUUGGACUCUAUGGUCAGGGCACUAGUUCAUGUCUUAUCGGGGGACCUUGUGAGACGAGAGCCCAAGGAAACCAGGACACACCCUCACGCAGGAGCCUGAACUUGCAACGGUGUGGCGCCGAGUCGGGAGGCCGAGCGUUUGCGCUCUGCCCCUUAGCCCAUUACAGAAAAUGUUUUUACUGUGCUCCACACACAUUUUCCUGCCUCCCUUGGUUGUAAAUCACAACGCUUUACAGCUAGAAGGCGUCUCAGGGACAUUCUAGACAUCUCCCAUUUUACA
Molecule: long non-coding RNA, 2502 nt
Organism: Pteronotus mesoamericanus
Lineage: Eukaryota; Metazoa; Chordata; Mammalia; Chiroptera; Mormoopidae
Exons: 3
Source: RefSeq, a predicted model, not a curated record